GCCUCCGUAGCUCAGGGGAUAGAGCAAAGGCUUUCUAAUCCUUAGGUCGCAGGUUCGAAUCCUGCCGGGGGCAC
Molecule: transfer RNA, 74 nt
Filed under: Rhodococcus phage Peregrin
Lineage: Duplodnaviria; Heunggongvirae; Uroviricota; Caudoviricetes
Description: tRNA-Arg
Rfam family: tRNA
About the family: Transfer RNA (tRNA) molecules are approximately 80 nucleotides in length. Their secondary structure includes four short double-helical elements and three loops (D, anti-codon, and T loops). Further hydrogen bonds mediate the characteristic L-shaped molecular structure. tRNAs have two regions of fundamental functional importance: the anti-codon, which is responsible for specific mRNA codon recognition, and the 3' end, to which the tRNAs corresponding amino acid is attached (by aminoacyl-tRNA synthetases). tRNAs cope with the degeneracy of the genetic code in two manners: having more than one tRNA (with a specific anti-codon) for a particular amino acid; and 'wobble' base-pairing, i.e. permitting non-standard base-pairing at the 3rd anti-codon position.
Source: RNAcentral